RNAcentral lists this ribosomal RNA (499 nucleotides) under Arthrobotrys dendroides. RNAcentral describes it as "SSU rRNA". It matches the Rfam family "Eukaryotic small subunit ribosomal RNA", at positions 46 to 554 of the family's 1831-position model. Lineage: Eukaryota; Fungi; Ascomycota; Orbiliomycetes; Orbiliales; Orbiliaceae. The record is from RNAcentral.
AAGGCUUGGUUCUAGUUUAAGCACUAUACAGUGAAACUGCGAAUGGCUCAUUAAAUCAGUUAUCGUUUAUUUGAUAGUACCUUACUACUUGGAUAACCGUGGUAAUUCUAGAGCUAAUACAUGCUAAAAAUCCCGACCUCUGGAAGGGAUGUAUUUAUUAGAUAAAAAACCAAUGCCUUCGGGCUCCUUGGUGAUUCAUAAUAACUUAACGAAUCGCAUGGCCUUGUGCCGGCGAUGGUUCAUUCAAAUUUCUGCCCUAUCAACUUUCGAUGGUAGGAUAGUGGCCUACCAUGGUUUCAACGGGUAACGGGGAAUUAGGGUUCGAUUCCGGAGAGGGAGCCUGAGAAACGGCUACCACAUCCAAGGAAGGCAGCAGGCGCGCAAAUUACCCAAUCCCAAUUCGGGGAGGUAGUGACAAUAAAUACUGAUACAGGGCUCUUUUGGGUCUUGUAAUUGGAAUGAGUACAAUUUAAAUCUCUUAACGAGGAACAAUUGGAGG